Molecule: long non-coding RNA, 2768 nt
Organism: Panthera uncia (snow leopard)
Lineage: Eukaryota; Metazoa; Chordata; Mammalia; Carnivora; Felidae
Exons: 2
Source: RefSeq, a predicted model, not a curated record
GGGACCCGAUUUGCCCCCACCCUGUCCGCUUUCUAAGCGGGACCGAGUCCUCCUCCGCCCGGUCCGCCCCCACCCGGUCCCGUUUCUAAGCAGGACCCAGUUUCUAAGCGGGACCCAGUCCAUGGGCACCCGGUCCGGUUUCGAAGCGGGCCCCUCUACGGACCCCACGCGGUCCGGUUUCCAAGCGGGACCCAGUCCGCGCACACCCGGUCCCGUUUCUAAGUGGGACCCGGUUCAGCCCCAGAGCCUUCCGGUUUCUAAGACGGAAGUAGGCCCCUCCGACCUGGUCCUCGUGCUAAGCGUGGCCCAGUCUCCUCACAGCCAGCCACCCAGGGUUCUAUGUUGGACCCAGCCGGCCCCUAGUCUUAGUUUCUAAGUCAUACCCAGGCCCACCCUGCGCCUCGUCCAGUUUCUAAAUUGGGCCCAAUCUGACUCAGCCGGUGUCUGGACUCAGUCCGGAGAGAGAAAUGCUCGGGUCAAAUCUGAAACACCUUGAGAGCUGAGAGCUAGCAUCCAACAGGGACGUACAGCCUCCAGAGGCAGCGGGAAAGCAGAAGCUCAGGGGGCUCAGCAGAUCCUGACAGUUCUGCUCGUGUGGGCUGUGUGAUGCACCCAUUGGAGGGUGUGGGGUACACCAGCAUGGACCAUGAGGUUCUCUGCCUCUCUUUUUCUGGUUAGACUUCAGAGGCUGAUGCUCCACUUCGGAAACUAGAUUUGGGUGUGAGCCACUGUGCCUUCUACCUGACAGUGGAGAGGAUUCCAAGUGACAAGGCUUAAAGCACCUUGGAGAGUACCCCACUGACAGUGUUGGACGGACUGUUCCAUGUGGUGAAGAAGGAACCAUGGAGGGGGGAGGGAAUGAGCAGCUGUUAAGAAUGAUUAAACUUGGGGUGCCUGCGUGGCUCGGUCGGUUGAGCAUCCAACUUUGGCUCAGGUCGUGAUCUCCCAAAUCAUGAGUUUGAGCCCCACAACGGGCUUUCUGCUGUCAGCGAAGAGCCCGCUUCUGAUUCUGUGUCUCCUUCUCUCUGUCCUUGCCCUGCUCAUUCUCUCUCUCUCUCUCUCUCUCUCUCUCUCUCUCAAAAAUAAGUAAACAUUUAAAAAAAAGAAUGAUUAAACUCAUCAGGUCACUGCUGAUUUUAGGUCAGCCUAAAAUACUUCAAAGCUUAUUGGUGUUCUGGGUAUAGAGUCCAAAAUCCUUGCCAUGGCUCUCACGAUCACCCACGGUGUAACUGCCUGCUUCUUCAGCCACACGUGAGAUGCCUCUCCUUCCUUCCCAUUGCCCCAGCCACACUGGCCUUGGUAUUUCCUCAGAUGUGAUUGGCUCUCUUGCCAGAGCAGCUUUAUGUAAAUGGUUCCUUCCUCGCAGAUCAGUUUUCUUCUCCAGCCUACAGGCAGCCCACUACAACAUGUUCUUCUCUGACCCCUCAAACUCGGUUAGUGCCCCCAGUUUUACAACCUCUGGCACCCUUUACUUGCCCUUUCUCAAAACUCAUCAUCUUUCAACAGCUUGUCCACGGUGUCUUCUUCACUAGACCACGAGCUCCGUGAGGGUAAACACCAAGCCUGUCUCAUCCAUCCCAGGAUCUGCCAUGGCGGUCCCCUUGCCAGGUGGACACCAGACUCAAGAAAUAGCUGUUCAGUGAAUGCAUGUCUCAAAGCUUUUAAGUUUUAAGGAUAAUUCUCCGAGCCAACUGCGUGAUGAUACUGGAAACAUAAGAACUGAACGGGCUCUUCCUGCUCUGUGUCUCCCAAAUCCAGCUGGGAAGCAGGAGGUUUGAAGGACAAGCAUUAUAGAUGGGGACUCUGGGUGAAGAACCUCAGCCAGGGAGCCAGGCCAGGACUGUCAUUGUGAAAUAGGAACAUUUUCAUGGGAGGUGACCCUUUGCUGGAACCCCUCAAUUCCAAUGUGGUCGAUAGCUUUGGAUUGUUAUGCAAUGUGACUAAUUCACCUGUGGAAAAAAUUUAGCUCUAACAGUAGUGCUAUUUUUUGUUUUUCAUUAAAAUCCUGAUAUCCUGACUAAUCAACUGGACUGUGUCCAGACUGUACCAUUUCUCUAACAUUAAAAAAUAACCUGUAACCACACCAGCAAAGCCACCCCUUAACAAAUAAAGGACCAAUGGGAACCGAAGGAAUCUAGAGCCCCCUCACCACACACACACACACACACAAAAAAUGACUAAGGAAAUAAUGUGGCCUGAAUUGUUGUUUAAUGUAAUCGAAUUAGACCUCCAUAUCUGAAUAGGCUUGGCCUUCUGAGUGUGUGUCAUUUGGUCCAUCUCUCUAAAUCACUCACUUGAGUGCCUACUGUCUAGAACCCUAGGGGCUGGUAAUCAAAGUGAAGUAACUGUUUCUAUCCAGAGAUCUUAUUGUCCAUUUGGAGAGACAGAAUGGAAAAGAGUAAGUGAACCAAAGUGCUAGAGGAAUGACAAUAUAUAACUUUCAAAUUCCAAGCAAUGCAUCCAGCGGUCAUAGAGAGGCAUACCCUGAGGAAUCGGGAACAACCCCAAGAGCACCAGUCCUACAUUUUCUGCACCUCUGGCAUUUACUAUUGGCUCAUGGGUUCUCAGUUUUUCACAUGACCUCAUGUUUCAAUGCUGUGUAGGACUGUCUUCUCCAAAUUAGCACACAUAAAUGCCAAAGAGUCAAAACUCUACUAAUUAUCCCAAACUUUGUGACUGCUUUUUGGUACUACUUUACCUAGAAACUCCAUAUUCGUGUUCUCAGAGUUCUUAAAUUAUUAAACACUGUUUAAAGAUGGUUUGCAUGA